CAAAUAUAUUUGUCAUUUACAACCUUCUGAUUAGGGUUUGGUGAGAGAAUGGUGAUCAGUGCAGAUCAGACGUCUGAAGGCCUGGUAGAAGAGGUAGAAACUCUCUGUUCUGCUAGAGUUCAAAAAAUCGAAUCCAUGAUUUACCAGAUUGAGGAGGUGUCAGAGAACCAAAGAGCUGAUGCUGCAAAUAGUCUGGUUUAUGAAGCAAACCUGAGGUGUACGGAUGCAUGGGUGUAAUUUCAGACUUGCAGCAAAAAGUUCAAUCAUUACAAACAGAACUUCAAGCUGUCAGGACAGAAAUUAUUGCAAGGUACAAGUAUAAAGAAUUAGCAGCAAGUCAGAUCCUUUCUCGUAGAGAUCAUAUUCAUCCCCAUCAUGUUACUGCUUCCCCAACAUCAUGUGAAGCUUGACCUUCUUCCACGCUGCUCGUAUUUGUGCACGGUUGUUCUCGUUAAAAUUCCGCUUCAAAGUGAAACCUGUC
Molecule: RNA transcript, 481 nt
Organism: Fragaria vesca subsp. vesca
Lineage: Eukaryota; Viridiplantae; Streptophyta; Magnoliopsida; Rosales; Rosaceae
Exons: 2
Source: RefSeq, a predicted model, not a curated record